UACGGAGGGUGCAAGCGUUGUUCGGAAUUACUGGGCGUAAAGCGCGUGUAGGCGGCCUUUUAAGUCUGAUGUGAAAGCCCGGGGCUCACCCCCGGAAGUGCAUCGGAUACUGGGAGGCUCGAGUACCGGAGAGGAGGGUGGAAUUCCUGGUGUAGCGGUGAAAUGCGUAGAUAUCAGGAGGAACACCGGUGGCGAAGGCGGCCCUCUGGACGGAUACUGACGCUGAGACGCGAAAGCGUGGGGAGCGAACAGG
This 253-nucleotide ribosomal RNA is filed under the name uncultured bacterium. RNAcentral's name for it is "partial 16S ribosomal RNA". It matches the Rfam family "Bacterial small subunit ribosomal RNA", at positions 524 to 776 of the family's 1533-position model. The record is from RNAcentral.